UACGGGGGGAGCAAGCGUUGUUCGGAUUCAUUGGGCGUAAAGGGUGCGUAGGCGGCGCGGUAAGUCGGGUGUGAAAUCUUGGAGCUUAACUCCGAAACUGCAUUCGAUACUGCCGUGCUUGAGGACUGGAGAGGAGACUGGAAUUUACGGUGUAGCGGUGAAAUGCGUAGAUAUCGUAAGGAAGACCAGUGGCGAAGGCGGGUCUCUGGACAGUUCCUGACGCUGAGGCGCGAAAGCCAGGGGAGCGAACGGG
RNAcentral lists this ribosomal RNA (253 nucleotides) under uncultured prokaryote. Its description in RNAcentral is "partial 16S ribosomal RNA". It matches the Rfam family "Bacterial small subunit ribosomal RNA", at positions 524 to 776 of the family's 1533-position model. The record is from RNAcentral.